Molecule: ribosomal RNA, 484 nt
Filed under: uncultured bacterium
Lineage: Bacteria
Description: partial 16S ribosomal RNA
Rfam family: Bacterial small subunit ribosomal RNA
Source: RNAcentral
AUUGAACGCUGGCGGCAGGCCUAACACAUGCAAGUCGAGCGGAUGAAGGGAGCUUGCUCCUGGAUUCAGCGGCGGACGGGUGAGUAAUGCCUAGGAAUCUGCCUGGUAGUGGGGGAUAACGUCCGGAAACGGGCGCUAAUACCGCAUACGUCCUGAGGGAGAAAGUGGGGGAUCUUCGGACCUCACGCUAUCAGAUGAGCCUAGGUCGGAUUAGCUAGUUGGUGGGGUAAAGGCCUACCAAGGCGACGAUCCGUAACUGGUCUGAGAGGAUGAUCAGUCACACUGGAACUGAGACACGGUCCAGACUCCUACGGGAGGCAGCAGUGGGGAAUCUUGGGCAAUGGGCGAAAGCCUGAUCCAGCCAUGCCGCGUGUGUGAAGAAGGUCUUCGGAUUGUAAAGCACUUUAAGUUGGGAGGAAGGGCAGUAAGUUAAUACCUUGCUGUUUUGACGGUACCAACAGAAUAAGCACCGGCUAACUUCGUG